This 253-nucleotide ribosomal RNA is filed under the name uncultured bacterium. RNAcentral describes it as "partial 16S ribosomal RNA". It matches the Rfam family "Bacterial small subunit ribosomal RNA", at positions 524 to 776 of the family's 1533-position model. The record is from RNAcentral.
UACGUAGGGUGCAAGCGUUAAUCGGAAUUACGGGGCGUAAAGCGUGCGCAGGCGGUUUUGUAAGACCGAUGUGAAAUCCCCGGGCUUAACCUGGGAACUGCAUUGGUGACUGCAAGGCUUGAGUGUGUCAGAGGGAGGUGGAAUUCCGCGUGUAGCAGUGAAAUGCGUAGAUAUGCGGAGGAACACCGAUGGCGAAGGGAGCCUCCUGGGAUAACACUGACGCUCAUGCACGAAAGCGUGGGGAGCAAACAGG